This 563-nucleotide small RNA is filed under the name fungal sp. JH 47. RNAcentral describes it as "eukaryotic LSU rRNA". The stretch from base 195 to 349 matches the Rfam family "5.8S ribosomal RNA". The record is from RNAcentral. Lineage: Eukaryota; Fungi.
GGCCUUUGGAAAGGAGAGAGGGUUGUAGCUGGCUUAAGCAUAGUGCACGCCCUCUUUCUCGACCUAGGUCCUUAUGGGCGCGGGGCGACCCGCGUCUUCAUAAGCCCCUUCGUGUAGAAAGUCUAUGAAUGUUUUUACCAUCAUCGACUCGCGACUUCUAGGAGACGCGAUUCUUUGAGACAAAAGUUUAUUACAACUUUCAGCAAUGGAUCUCUUGGCUCUCGCAUCGAUGAAGAACGCAGCGAAUCGCGAUAUGUAAUGUGAAUUGCAGAUCUACAGUGAAUCAUCGAAUCUUUGAACGCACCUUGCGCUUAUCGGUGUUCCGAUGAGCAUGCCUGUUUGAGCGUCAUUAAAUUCUCAACCCCUCUCGAUUUGCUUCGAGAGGGAGCUUGGAUCGUGGAGGCUGCCGGAGACCUGUUUUUCAGGACUCGGGCUCCUCUGAAAUGUAUUGGCUUGCGGUCGACUUUCGACUGUGCAUGACAAGGCCUUUGGCGUGAUAAUGAUCGCCGCUCGCCGAAGUGCACGAACGAAUGGUCUCGUGCCUCUAAUCAGUCGACGCCUUU